RNAcentral lists this unclassified non-coding RNA (236 nucleotides) under air metagenome. RNAcentral's name for it is "partial contains small subunit ribosomal RNA, internal transcribed spacer 1, and 5.8S ribosomal RNA". The stretch from base 1 to 46 matches the Rfam family "Eukaryotic small subunit ribosomal RNA", at positions 1786 to 1831 of the family's 1831-position model. The record is from RNAcentral.
AAGUCGUAACAAGGUUUCCGUAGGUGAACCUGCGGAAGGAUCAUUAAAGAUUCGGGCUUCGGCCCUCCUCCUCAGCUGUGCCCUUCGGCUGCACGCUGUUGAAAUCUCACACCUGUGCACCUUUUCGGUCGCGGCGAUUAAACCCGUCGCUUCCGCUUUCACAUCCAACUACAAAAAGUCUAGAAUGUACAAAACCAUAAACAUAACAACUUUCAACAACGGAUCUCUUGGCUCUC